This 487-nucleotide ribosomal RNA is filed under the name Salmonella enterica subsp. enterica serovar Barranquilla. Its description in RNAcentral is "bacterial SSU rRNA". It matches the Rfam family "Bacterial small subunit ribosomal RNA", at positions 30 to 506 of the family's 1533-position model. Lineage: Bacteria; Pseudomonadati; Pseudomonadota; Gammaproteobacteria; Enterobacterales; Enterobacteriaceae. The record is from RNAcentral.
UGAACGCUGGCGGCAGGCCUAACACAUGCAAGUCGAACGGUAACAGGAAGCAGCUUGCUGCUUUGCUGACGAGUGGCGGACGGGUGAGUAAUGUCUGGGAAACUGCCUGAUGGAGGGGGAUAACUACUGGAAACGGUGGCUAAUACCGCAUAACGUCGCAAGACCAAAGAGGGGGACCUUCGGGCCUCUUGCCAUCAGAUGUGCCCAGAUGGGAUUAGCUUGUUGGUGAGGUAACGGCUCACCAAGGCGACGAUCCCUAGCUGGUCUGAGAGGAUGACCAGCCACACUGGAACUGAGACACGGUCCAGACUCCUACGGGAGGCAGCAGUGGGGAAUAUUGCACAAUGGGCGCAAGCCUGAUGCAGCCAUGCCGCGUGUAUGAAGAAGGCCUUCGGGUUGUAAAGUACUUUCAGCGGGGAGGAAGGUGUUGUGGUUAAUAACCGCAGCAAUUGACGUUACCCGCAGAAGAAGCACCGGCUAACUCCGU